RNAcentral lists this ribosomal RNA (464 nucleotides) under uncultured Planctomyces sp. RNAcentral describes it as "bacterial SSU rRNA". It matches the Rfam family "Bacterial small subunit ribosomal RNA", at positions 335 to 795 of the family's 1533-position model. The record is from RNAcentral. Lineage: Bacteria; Pseudomonadati; Planctomycetota; Planctomycetia; Planctomycetales; Planctomycetaceae.
UGCCUACGGGGGGCUGCAGUCGAGAAUCUUCGGCAAUGGGCGCAAGCCUGACCGAGCGACGCCGCGUGCGGGAUGAAGGUCUUCGGAUUGUAAACCGCUGUCGGAGGGGAUGAAGUGUAUCAGGGUAAUCCCUGGUAUUUGACAAAGCCUCGGAGGAAGCACGGGCUAAGUUCGUGCCAGCAGCCGCGGUAAUACGAACUGUGCGAACGUUAUUCGGAAUCACUGGGCUUAAAGGGUGCGUAGGCGGCGGCUCAAGUCAGGUGUGAAAUCCCCCGGCUCAACCGGGGAACAGCGCUUGAAACUGGGUUGCUUGAGUGAGGCAGGGGUGUAUGGAACUUCCGGUGGAGCGGUGAAAUGUGUAGAGAUCGGAAGGAACGCCGGCGGCGAAAGCGGUACACUGGGCCUUGUCUGACGCUGAGGCACGAAAGCUAGGGGAGUGAACGGGAUUAGAUACCCCAGUAGUC